CUUCAUGAAUUUUGACUAUGGCUCAGAUUGAACGCUGGCGGCAGGCCUAACACAUUCAGGUGUUAAACUAGCCUCAGGAUGAACGCUGGCGGCGUGCUUAACACAUGCAAGUUGAACGGAGUACUUUCGGGUACUUAGUGGCGGACGGGUGAGUAACGCGUGAGGAUCUGGCCUUAGGAGGGGAACAACAGUUGGAAAGGACUGCUAAUGCCCCAUAUGCCGAGAGGUGAAAAGUUAUAUCGCCUGAGGAUGAACUGGCGUCUGAUUAGCUAGUUGGUGGGGUAAGGGCCCAUCAAGGAGGCGAUCAGUACACGGUGUAAGAGGAUGAUCAUCCACACUGGGACUGAGACCCGCCCCAGAGUCUUACGGGAGGCAGCAGUGGGGAAUUUUCCGCAAUGGGGGAAAGCCUGACGGAGCAACGCCGCGUGAGGGAGGAAGGCCUUAGGGUUGUAAACCUCUUUUUUAUGGGAAGAAGAACUGACGGUACCAGAGGAAUAAGCCUCGGCUAACUCCGUGCCAGCAGCCGCGGUAAGACGGAGGAGGCAAGCGUUAUUCGGAAUUAUUGGGCGUAAAGCGUCCGCAGGCGGCUUUUUAAGUCAGUUGUCAAAGGUCACAGCUCAACUGUGGAUCGGCAAUGGAAACUGGGGAGCUUGAGUGUGGUAGGGGUAGAGGGAAUUCCCGGUGUAGCGGUGAAAUGCGUAGAUAUCGGGAAGAACACCAGUGGCGAAGGCGCUCUCCUGGGCCACAACUGACGCUGAGACGUAUGCUGGAAUAG
Molecule: ribosomal RNA, 775 nt
Filed under: uncultured Spirulina sp.
Lineage: Bacteria; Bacillati; Cyanobacteriota; Cyanophyceae; Spirulinales; Spirulinaceae
Description: bacterial SSU rRNA
Rfam family: Bacterial small subunit ribosomal RNA
Source: RNAcentral